RNAcentral lists this long non-coding RNA (2557 nucleotides) under Homo sapiens (human). RNAcentral describes it as "HSALNT0302109". Lineage: Eukaryota; Metazoa; Chordata; Mammalia; Primates; Hominidae. The record is from RNAcentral.
AGGAGACUAAGGUCAUUCAGAUGCCAAAAGAAAGGCAGAAGGGGCAGCAGCAGGGCAGAGUGGAUAGCAUCUGGACUUUGGAGCUAGAAGCCACUGGUGUACUGUGUGCCACCUCAGCGGCUCAGUCCCCGUGUGGUUGCAGCAACCCUUGGGGCCUUAUUGAGCAAAGCACUGCAGUUGCAACCAGGGAGAGGAGUGCGGCAGCCCACACAGUCCCCGGCUGAGAACGAGUCUGACACUGGACCCUGCCGCCGGUGUGGACAGCACUGGGUCCUGGGGAGGAAGUGCUGCAGAGGGGAAGAGGCGGCCUCGCCCAAGCCCUCUGCUGGGUGGAGAUCACAGACAGCCAGAAAGGGGGAAGAACAGGAGGACUGUGCUGGAGAGACCUGGUCCCUCUGCACUUUCUCCCAGGUCCUAGCAAGUCAUCAAAACAGCGGGUGCCGCAUGGACGCCCUGUGCUGCCCUUCACGGUGUGCCAGGCCCAACCACCCACCCUGGGAGGCAGGUUAUGUUAUCCUCCCAUUUGACAGAUGAGGAAAGGAAGACCGAGAGAGAGAAAGUCACUUGUCCGAGGUCCCCAGUGGGAAGUGGGUAAAACGGGAUACCCACACCCAGGUCUGCCUGGUAUGUAGCCACAACAUAGGGUUGGUGGAGCUACAGUCUAGGUAGAGAGAAGAAGGCCCUGUCUGUGGCCAGGGUCGGGGCUGAGUCUGUAACUGGGAAGGCACCCCAGGGAGGAGCAUGCUCAGCAGGAAGUGGACAGAGUAGGGGCAUGGAGGAAGGAGCACCAGCCAUGUGUCUCCAGUCAGGAAAGCCUCCUGGAGGAGGCAGUGAAGGGGGAAGAGGAGGAGAGGAGGGCCUUGCCAGCAGCCUGAGCACUGGUAAUGAAGCAGGGCCCCAGCCUCUUGGCUGGCCAGUGAACACUUCCAAGAACCUUCAUACUUAAUACCUCUAUCACUCCUCCACUCAACAGGUGAGGAAACAUCAGUCCAGUGAGAGUGGCAUGUGUGGGGAGGAGCCCAGGCUUGCUCUGACCUCUCUCUGGGGCCCCCCACUCCAGAAGGUUGGAACAGCAUUCUACAGCAUUCCAGGAUGUGGAGGGGGCAGCAGUGUUUGUGUGCAGAGUGGCGAGGCCGACCUCCGAUGAGCUUCCCGUAGGAAGGGUGCAGUGGGGGGUGCUCACCCUGCCCAGGGAUGCUAUCUGCUCCAGGACUUGUUUAUCAGCCCACGGGGUGAUCGGCAUGACAUCAAUGGAUAUGCCAGGCUGCAGGCUACAGUGCCGAGAAGGAGAAGACGGAGGCGGUGGUGAUGUCACCCAAGGAAUUAAGUAAGCAGGGGAGCUGAUAACAUCGUCCAGCCAGGCUCACUGUGGGCAGGGUGACUCACUGAAGACGGCCUGCGAUCGCCAGGUGAUUGUUGUUGUGCCCAGCCUGUGGGGCUGGGGAGGAGGAAGGGGGGCAGGCCACAGAGCUGUGACAAGUUCCUCACCGAGGCCCCUGCUCAGGGGAGAGACCUCAGUACACAGUGUCCUCCACCUCUGAGCCCGGGGCUGGCUCAGGAAACAGCCCCCCUCUGCCUGUGCGAUUAUCUUUGUCCACAGUGUUUGGUGUGUGUUUGUGGGGUGUGUCAGGUGAUUUUCCUGCCCGAAGCCUGCUGGGUGCUCCAGGUACUAGCGAUUGCUCACAGCAGAGCAGUAGCCCCCUCCCUGGUUGGACAACUGUCUGUGGAGACAACACCGGAUGGCAAACUGCUAACCGCAACCACGUGGCGUCCUUACAGAGGGAACAGCCUGUUCCUCCCGCUGAGGGCACCUGCAGACCUGCCCCAUUCAUGGCUCCCUUCUCCCUCAGUCCCUGCUGAGGGGAUGGUCCCUUCCCACCCUUAAGGGCACCAUGGACUGUUGUCCAAGUUGAGAACUGUCCAACUGCAGGGGGCACCAUUCACUUGGCAGUCUUCGUGCCAGAUGCUAUGGCUGUCCACAGUGGCCCUGCCCCUUCCCUUUUGUAAAUUACUUCUCAGUUCCCUCCUCCACCAGAAUUAUCACACCAAACUUUCCCCCAUGUAUGCUUGCUUCUUUAUCACCUGACACUCUCAUUCAUUCAUUCCACAAAAAAAUUGUGGCGUUUGUGCAAGGUACUAUUCUAGGCAAGGGAACAAGACAGACCCUCCUGGAGCUCAUGGAGUUCAUAUUCUAGCAUGGGGGAGAACCAAUAAAUAAAUAAUUGGAUACAUAAAACUGCAAGUGACAAUAAGUGCUACAAAGAAAACUAAAGCCAGCCCAGGAUAGAGGGUGAUAGUGCCCUACUUCAGCUAGGACUGCCAGAAAGGCUUCUCUGUGGGGAGGUGGCCUCUGAGGGGAGACCUGGAGGCAGCAAAGGAGGAAGCCUUCCCGGCAGAGCCCCUCCCAUUGGCACCCAAUGCCAAAAGAAGUUUCUAUAACCCGUCCUGGUUCUGCCAGGAGCCUGCGGCAUGGCCUGGGGCGCUCAAUUCCCAGUGCAGGGUGUCUAUUUCUUCCCCCAACAAACAAGAGGCCUAGUCGCAUAGUCUCUUCCAGCAC